UCCGUGGCUUCCCGAUCCCCCUGGAAUUCGUACCUGACGACGAAGAGGAGAGAGCUCCCGCCCCCGAGAGCUCGUCGCCGCUCCCUUCCUUCGACUUCCCAAAGACCGGAACGGCGGAGAGCGAGAGCAGGCAACUCGAAGUCGGCGGCGGUGGUCCUUCGUCGGACGCGCUCUCGGAUCUUGGUCGCUUUGAAGGUUCCAUGGACCCCGAGGGCUUCGAGCCGGCCAGGGACUUCGAGAGCGACACUUCCCUCGACUCCACUUUCGAGUUCAUUGGCCCCGCGACCCUCGUCAGCAGCGGUCGGGCCGGAGACGAGGAGGCCCUGAUGCUGGACCCUCUACAAGCCGUGGCUCCUUCGACAUCCCGAGAAAACCGACAGAGAGAAAGGAGCCAGAAUCUACAGCCGGACAAGUAACGGAAACCUCCUCCUUGGCGCACCAUAGCGGAAACCUCCCCCUUGGCGCACCAUAGCGGAAACCUCCUCUUGGCGCACUGUAGCGGAAACCUGCCUUGGCACACCAUCAUCACCAUGCACCUUGUUGAUAAUGAUUGUGCUUUUCGUCACUUACUGUAGUUACUAAUCCCCUCCCCCCUCCCCCCCCCCUCCCCCCCUUCCAUUCUCGAGAUGAUUUCGAAAAAUAUGCAUUUCGAAUCGCCCUGUAUUUUGCUCGCUUCACCCCGUAUCUCUAUUGUCAUUAGUUCGUUACACUAUGUUUGUUUUUUUGUAUUCUCGACACUUAUUUCGUAAUUGAUUGUGCAAGAAUUAUCACUGUAGCUUUGUGACACCCACUUUUGCGUAGCCACUGCCACCUGUUACGUAAGCACUUUGAAAGUUGUUUGUGAUGCCACCUUUGUUACGAAAACCACUGUAGUAAUUAUGCUGGUUUAUUUGUUUAUUAUUUUCUUUUGCUCUUUUAGCUGUGUGUCAUCUCGACUGCCUGGCUGUCGUCUUUCUUUCUUUCUUUCUUUGUUUCUCUCUCUCUCUCU
RNAcentral lists this long non-coding RNA (988 nucleotides) under Penaeus japonicus. RNAcentral describes it as "uncharacterized LOC122243949". Lineage: Eukaryota; Metazoa; Arthropoda; Malacostraca; Decapoda; Penaeidae. The record is from RNAcentral.